AAUGGGCGAAAGCCUGACGGAGCAAGACCGCGUGGGGGAGGAAGGUUCUUGGAUUGUCAACCCCUUUUCUCAGGGAAGAACACAAUGACGGUACCUGAGGAAAAAGCAUCGGCUAACUCCGUGCCAGCAGCCGCGGUAAUACGGGGGAUGCAAGCGUUAUCCGGAAUGAUUGGGCGUAAAGAGUCCGUAGGUAGUCAUCCAAGUCUGCUGUUAAAGAGCGAGGCUUAACCUCGUAAAGGCAGUGGAAACUGGAAGACUAGAGUGUAGUAGGGGCAGAGGGAAUUCCUGGUGUAGCGGUGAAAUGCGUAGAGAUCAGGAAGAACACCGGUGGCGAAGGCGCUCUGCUGGGCUAUAACUGACACUGAGGGACGAAAGCUAGGGGAGCGAAUGGGAUUA
This 396-nucleotide ribosomal RNA is filed under the name Planktothrix rubescens P1. Its description in RNAcentral is "bacterial SSU rRNA". It matches the Rfam family "Bacterial small subunit ribosomal RNA", at positions 370 to 780 of the family's 1533-position model. The record is from RNAcentral. RNAcentral also lists the same sequence under 1 other name. Lineage: Bacteria; Bacillati; Cyanobacteriota; Cyanophyceae; Oscillatoriales; Microcoleaceae.